Molecule: ribosomal RNA, 862 nt
Filed under: Kocuria sp.
Lineage: Bacteria; Bacillati; Actinomycetota; Actinomycetes; Micrococcales; Micrococcaceae
Description: bacterial SSU rRNA
Rfam family: Bacterial small subunit ribosomal RNA
Source: RNAcentral
UGCUGUGAAAGCCCGGGGCUUAACCCCGGGUGUGCAGUGGGUACGGGCAGGCUAGAGUGCAGUAGGGGAGACUGGAAUUCCUGGUGUAGCGGUGAAAUGCGCAGAUAUCAGGAGGAACACCGAUGGCGAAGGCAGGUCUCUGGGCUGUUACUGACGCUGAGGAGCGAAAGCAUGGGGAGCGAACAGGAUUAGAUACCCUGGUAGUCCAUGCCGUAAACGUUGGGCACUAGGUGUGGGGGACAUUCCACGUUUUCCGCGCCGUAGCUAACGCAUUAAGUGCCCCGCCUGGGGAGUACGGCCGCAAGGCUAAAACUCAAAGGAAUUGACGGGGGCCCGCACAAGCGGCGGAGCAUGCGGAUUAAUUCGAUGCAACGCGAAGAACCUUACCAAGGCUUGACAUACACUGGAUCGCAGCAGAGAUGUUGUUUCCUCUUUGAGGCUGGUGUACAGGUGGUGCAUGGUUGUCGUCAGCUCGUGUCGUGAGAUGUUGGGUUAAGUCCCGCAACGAGCGCAACCCUCGUUCUAUGUUGCCAGCACGUGAUGGUGGGGACUCAUAGGAGACUGCCGGGGUCAACUCGGAGGAAGGUGGGGAUGACGUCAAAUCAUCAUGCCCCUUAUGUCUUGGGCUUCACGCAUGCUACAAUGGCCGGUACAAUGGGUUGCGAUACUGUGAGGUGGAGCUAAUCCCAAAAAGCCGGUCUCAGUUCGGAUUGGGGUCUGCAACUCGACCCCAUGAAGUCGGAGUCGCUAGUAAUCGCAGAUCAGCAACGCUGCGGUGAAUACGUUCCCGGGCCUUGUACACACCGCCCGUCAAGUCACGAAAGUUGGUAACACCCGAAGCCGAUGGCCUAACCCUUGUGGA